GGGGCUGUAGCUCAGUCGGAUAGAGCAACGGUUUCCUAAACCGUAGGUCAUGGGUUCGAAUCCCGUCAGCCCCG
Molecule: transfer RNA, 74 nt
Filed under: Paulinella chromatophora
Lineage: Eukaryota; Cercozoa; Imbricatea; Euglyphida; Paulinellidae
Description: tRNA-Arg
Rfam family: tRNA
About the family: Transfer RNA (tRNA) molecules are approximately 80 nucleotides in length. Their secondary structure includes four short double-helical elements and three loops (D, anti-codon, and T loops).
Source: RNAcentral